RNAcentral lists this long non-coding RNA (1443 nucleotides) under Oryctolagus cuniculus (rabbit). RNAcentral describes it as "lncRNA (ENSOCUG00000030149.1)". The record is from RNAcentral. Lineage: Eukaryota; Metazoa; Chordata; Mammalia; Lagomorpha; Leporidae.
AGUCUGAGUGUGUGAAUGUGUCGAGAUAAGUGGGUGGAUGAGUGUGUGCUCGGAAGACCGUGUAUGUGAGUCAGGGCACGAGUGAGGAUCUCUGUAGGUCUGGCGAGGCCAGCGAGUGGUCAGCCACAGCUGGGGGAGAAACCCCUUCUCCCUGGAUGUGGAGGGCAGGUGCCUCUAGGCAGGCACAUUCGGCUGCACAGUGCCAGCGCCUGCACAGUACCCAGCCUUUGGGGCUCCUGGCUUCCUGGUGUCUGGCACGCUUCUGGGGGGCAGGGAAAGACUCCCAGGCACUGGUGUCCUGCCUGUGACCCCGUCUCUUCCCAGAGUUAAGACAAGGAUGAUGUCCUAUCAUUUUUGACAUGAAUGGGCCUGGAGGACAUUAGAUUAAGUGAAAUAAGCCAGGCGUGGUAAGACAAAUAGUGCAUGAGCUCACUGAGGUGGGGAAUCCAUAAAAGCUGAUCUCCUAGGAGUCGAGAGAACAACAGUGGUUACGGGAGAGGGGAGGGGAGGGGAGGAGGCAGGGAGUUCAGUCAACAGAACAAAGUUACAAGUGGAUAGGAGGAGAAGCCCUGGGAUUCUAUUGCACCCUAUGGUGACUACAGUUAACACAAUGCAUCCUAUGUCCUAAACCAGGUAUAAGAGCGGUUUGUAAUGCACUACAAUGAAACAAUGACAAAUAUGGGAGUCACCUGGUCCUGCCCAUCACGUGAGCCCUCCACAUACGGAAUCAUCAGCUCACAGCCCACAAACACGGACAACCUGAGAGGGGAGAAGCCCGGAGUUGGCACACGUGUGCAGUUGUGGCGAUGCCAGCGGGAAAUUCUCAUUUGGCACCUGGAACCCCCCCCCCCCCGUGAGGACCCUGAGGCAGGAGGGGAGAGCUGUGCUCUGGACAUGGCUUUGAAAACGCUGCUGCGCUGGACGAAGGACAGGGCGGCUCUGCGCUUCAUGCUGAGGACUUCACACGCAGGAGCCCACCCAGUGGCCCCCACGGCCCUUGGCAAAUUCGUCCAGCGGGAUCCUGGAUUAAAUUAACCAAGAGCUUCAAUCCUCAAGUUCCAGAAGCAACACAGUCUACUAACCAAGCAAAGUCUUCCUCCCUCCAAAGCUGUCACCUCUCCCAGCUAAUAGCCUGGAGCACCAGUUCGAGUCCUGGCAUCUGGUCCUGCUCCCUGCUAAUGCAGCUGGGAAGGCAGCGCAAGACGGCCCAAGUACACAGGCCCCUGCCACACACAUGGGAGACAGGGAUGGAACUCCUGGCUCCCGGCUUCUGCCUGGCCCAUCCCUGGCUGCUGCAGACAUUUGUGGGUGAACCAGCAGAUGAGAAGAUCAAUCUCUCCCUCUCUCGCUCUGUCACUCUACCUUUCAAAUGAAUGAGUAAAUAAUGUGGGCUUUUUUUUAAGUUCAUGCAAAAUGGAAUAAAGAUAAGCUUAUUUGGGUGCA